CCUACGGGAGGCUGCAGUGGGGAAUAUUGGACAAUGGGGGCAACCCUGAUCCAGCCAUGCCGCGUGUGUGAAGAAGGCCCUCGGGUUGUAAAGCACUUUCAGUGAGGAAGAACGCCUGGUGGUUAAUACCCAUCAGGAAAGACAUCACUCACAGAAGAAGCACCGGCUAACUCCGUGCCAGCAGCCGCGGUAAUACGGAGGGUGCGAGCGUUAAUCGGAAUUACUGGGCGUAAAGCGCGCGUAGGUGGCUUGAUAAGUCGGUUGUGAAAGCCCCGGGCUCAACCUGGGAACGGCAUCCGGAACUGUCAAGCUAGAGUGCAGGAGAGGAAGGUAGAAUUCCCGGUGUAGCGGUGAAAUGCGUAGAGAUCGGGAGGAAUACCAGUGGCGAAGGCGGCCUUCUGGACUGACACUGACACUGAGGUGCGAAAGCGUGGGUAGCAAACAGGAUUAGAUACCCUUGUAGUC
RNAcentral lists this ribosomal RNA (465 nucleotides) under Vreelandella stevensii. Its description in RNAcentral is "partial 16S ribosomal RNA". It matches the Rfam family "Bacterial small subunit ribosomal RNA", at positions 338 to 795 of the family's 1533-position model. The record is from RNAcentral. Lineage: Bacteria; Pseudomonadati; Pseudomonadota; Gammaproteobacteria; Oceanospirillales; Halomonadaceae.